Molecule: ribosomal RNA, 492 nt
Filed under: uncultured bacterium
Lineage: Bacteria
Description: partial 16S ribosomal RNA
Rfam family: Bacterial small subunit ribosomal RNA
Source: RNAcentral
AUUGAACGCUGGCGGCAUGCUUUACACAUGCAAGUCGAACGGUAACAGGCCUUCGGGUGCUGACGAGUGGCGAACGGGUGAGUAAUGCAUCGGAACGUACCCAGAGGUGGGGGAUAACGCAGCGAAAGCUGUGCUAAUACCGCAUGUGAUCUGAGGAUGAAAGCGGGGGACCGAGCAGCAAUGUUUGGCCUCGCGCCUUUGGAGCGGCCGAUGUCGGAUUAGCUAGUUGGUGGGGUAAAGGCCUACCAAGGCGACGAUCCGUAGCUGGUCUGAGAGGACGACCAGCCACACUGGGACUGAGACACGGCCCAGACUCCUACGGGAGGCAGCAAUGGGGAAUUUUGGACAAUGGGCGCAAGCCUGAUCCAGCAAUGCCGCGUGCGGGAAGAAGGCCUUCGGGUUGCAAACCGCUUUUGGCAGGAACGAAACGGUGUCCGCUAAUACCGGGCGCUAAUGACGGUACCUGCAGAAUAAGCACCGGCUAACUACGUG